AUCCGAUGUAAGUCUUAUACUCCGGAGGACAUCCGAAAAAGCCAUCUUCUAUAGCAGAAGCAAUGAUAUUAGAUA
This is a long non-coding RNA of Harpegnathos saltator (Jerdon's jumping ant), 75 nucleotides long. RefSeq lists it as uncharacterized. The transcript is spliced from 2 exons. NCBI's taxonomy places the organism in Eukaryota, Metazoa, Arthropoda, Insecta, Hymenoptera, Formicidae. The record is from RefSeq and is a predicted model, not a curated record.